CCCUGUGCCCCCUGCUGGAGCGGAGGAGGAAUUGAACCGCCGCCCGCCCGCCCUCCAAGGGUCGAAUCUGGGGUUCCUCGCGCUGGAAAGGCCCUGCGCUUCAGGCCAACCACCUCUGUUUUUUUACCCACGACUGAUUAAUAAGCAGCAUGCGGCAGCCCUAAGAAAAGGGACUUGGCCAAGGUCAUACUGCGAGUGCGUGAGAAAGAAUCCAGAUGCCCUGGUUUCCAGCGUACUCGACCACCCUGUCCCAAUUCAGACACGGAUGUGAUGCCUGGAACUUCAUCAACCAUUUUGUUACACUGAGGAAACCUCAAGCUAUGAAGGGAAAGCUUGAGCUUGGAAAAUAGAGCAGAAAGAUGAAAGCAACCACCAUAACAAUAAUGAACUGCCUACCUCUGGAUUUCUUUUAUGAAAUAGAAAAAUCAUGGGUUUCUUAAUGACAGCCGAACAUAAUUCCUAACUGAUGCAACGUAUAAUACCUUGGGAUACAAGCUCAGGUCAUGAUCUCCUGGUCCUUGGAUCCAG
Lutra lutra (Eurasian river otter) is the source of this 528-nucleotide long non-coding RNA. RefSeq lists it as uncharacterized. The record is from RefSeq and is a predicted model, not a curated record. NCBI's taxonomy places the organism in Eukaryota, Metazoa, Chordata, Mammalia, Carnivora, Mustelidae. The transcript has 3 exons.